UAGAAAACAACAUAGCUUUCAAAUGAUUAUAAUAACAUAAGUUUCAAAUACAUUGCUAGCAUAAGUGACAUCCUCCGACAAAAGCAUGUAGAUGAGAACACUAUAUAUAAUCACCGAGCCCACCAGCAGUUAGCCACCAUCCUUAGCAGGCUGAAGACUUCACCUGCAACAUGGUGGGAUAAACCCUGAGUACUCAAAUGUACUCAGCUAGACUUACCUGACAGGAGAGAAAAUAAAAGACUCUCAAAGAUAUGCAAGGCUAUUUGGUGGAGUUGGUUGGAUAGCAUAACUUUGCCAAAAAGAGCAUUACUAUCACGAGUCCUUACUUUCAACCUUUUAGUCAAUAUUUUAGCAUCAAGUUCGGUUAAGCUACCAUAGCUAGAUUUUGCACCUAUUCUAUAGCAAUCACUUGAUUAUUAAGCAUCACAUUAAUAACCAUAUCCGGUUUAUCAUAUAGCCAUCAUCAUCAUCAUAACCAUUAUGUUUCAUUUAGUGUAUCUACGUUGCCGCUGCUCGAGUCAAGUUCUCACUAUCCGGGAGAGACGGCGAUUCGAAUCGAUUCCUAUCCAGCUGGAGGGGUAUUCCUAGCACUCACCCAAGCAUACCUCGCGAGGGCAGCUCGGAUCACCUUUAGCACAACUCCGAACCAAUUCGCGGGUCCGUCCAGCGCCGCACCCCCAGGGACCGCCAAUCUGCCAGGGCAGGACUCUAACCUGACACCUUGGGCUUACGCCAUUGACUCCCCGCACAUCCUUGCUACCAACCGGGGUGCGCACUCAUACAGAACGGGGUAUCCGGCCUGAGUUGCACUCGUAGGCUUCGCGGUCGGAACGACUUAUCCGGCCAACUAAGUGUUAGGCAUGCGUUCAACAUGACACAAGGACGUACAGCGAUUCGGUCCUUAACCGACACAGACGGGGAUAGAUUCACACUCAAGACCUCCAUGCCUUGUUGCUUCACUAUCGUCAUCCCACCCGAUCUCAAAUUCAUUAUUAGCACAUGGUUAUUUCCACGAUAGCAAAUAUAGCCAACCGUGAUCAGGUAUCCACCAAUCUCUCGCAGGUGACAGGAAAUCACCUGGCUUCUACCGAGCUAAGCAUAGCUAAGCAUAGAACGUCUUCCUUAUACUAGUAAGGGUUCAGGUAGUUUCGUAUAGUGGACAAGGUAGGAAUAUAUGCACCAACGGUUUCAUUCAACUCCAAUCACCUAAUGCAUCAUAUAAAGUUAUACUCUUGUGCUUUUAUAAAAAGAGAGGGUAGGAGACUUAGAAUGCUCCGGGGCUUGCCUGGAAUCCGACACAAGUCAGUUAAGUUAGCUUGCGCCAUCUUGACGGCAUCCAAGUUCACAACACUUGUGUAGUCCUUCAAUCAUCCCGAUAGGUCCACCAUCACGUCCUUCACGCGGUUCAUCUAGCGUACCUAGAUGACAAGCAUGAUGCAAGUGCAUGAACACAUUUUCAUAGGAUCACAUAACACUAAUUAACACCACCAAGACAUGAGUCACUUAAAACCACACACAAUGUAAGUUAAUCAAGCAUUCAUGCAUUUUUAGCAAAUUCUGGACAUACAUGCAACAGUUGAGUAAAUAAAUCAUAACCAGAGUUAUACAGAUCCAAAAUCCAUGCAACAAGACAUUAUGAAAAGCUUAUAAAAUUGUAUACAAUUCAUAUUUAAUCAUCUUAGCAUGAUUAGUAAGUUACCUAAGUCAAACAUGCAUAUUUAUAGAAUCUGGUCCAGGAAUUCCAGACAACAAGCAUUUUGACAAAUAAACUUUAUACCCUUAUAACUCACAAACCAUUUAUCCAAAUGAUAAGAAACUCUAACACAAGCUAGAAAAAAGAGUUAUCUACAACUUUUCUAUAUACAAUUUUCACAGCAAACAUAAUUUAUACUAUGAAAUUCAUUGCACAAUCAGGACUGCUCCUGUUGCCCCAAACAGUAGGGUACAAUUAUAGGCAGAAAACUGAUAGACACUUUAAACAAGCAUAACUGGAGUUGUAGACCUCCAACAAACAUGAUUAUUAACUUCACAGAAAGCUUAUAAAGUUACCUACAACUUUAUUAUUAUCAUCUAAAGAUGAUUUCAUAGUUAACAAGGUCAAUUAACCCCAUGAAGACAUCUCUGUCCAAAGCAUAGACAGGACCUGUCAUGCCACAUUAAACAGUUAUAACAUCAUUUUCACAUGUCCACAAAUUAUGAUUAUGGACUCUCUAGAAAUCUUACUAAAUCGUGAACAACUUUGUUAUAAACAUCAAGAGCUCAUUCUAUCACUAAAAUAUCACACAUAGCAAUAUACCAAGCAAACAACUAUAAAAGCAAUCUAUCAUUUUUAGGACAGCCCACAACAGCUUCUUGUUUAAAUCAUAACUGGAGUUACAUAACUCCAAAAGACAUGCAAGAAGAUAUUAUGGAAAGCUUAAGAAGUUAUAUACAUUUGAUAUUUAGACAUCAAAGCAUGAUUGUCAACUUAAGCUAGUCGAAAUAUUAGGAUUACUGAAUCAGGUCCUAACAGGACAGAGAGCAACCAUUUCUGAAACCCAAAUUUAAACAGCCAUAACAUACAAACCACAUAACCAAUUACCACCAAAUUUUAAAAGCAGCUAUAUGGAUGAAUUAUCUACAACUUUGCUAUAAACAAGAUUCCCAGAAAAUAAAAUAAUCAUGAUGUAAUUGUCUAGGCAACAGAAACUAUACUAAAAAUCAUUUUCAGAAAAUAGAUACAUUUCAUUAAAGUUCCCAACAUGAAUCUGGGCAAAGACCAAUGUUGCCAACAGUUGACAUACAUCAAAUAAAGGCUACGAAACAUAGUGAACAUUCCGAAAUAAAUUCUUCACAUGCCAUUUGAAUAAUCAUAGCAACCUCUAUUAAUGGACAAAUUGCUAUGCAAGAAAACAUGUGAGAGCAAGAUAAAACUAAAGAUUACCAUGUUCGGUAAACACAUUGCUAUGUUAGUAUUUCUCAGGCCACAAUAUCACCAUAACAUGGCAACG
RNAcentral lists this long non-coding RNA (2990 nucleotides) under Sorghum bicolor (sorghum). RNAcentral describes it as "long non-coding RNA (SBIC_LNC014498)". The record is from RNAcentral. Lineage: Eukaryota; Viridiplantae; Streptophyta; Magnoliopsida; Poales; Poaceae.